AGGCAAUAGAUACCCAGGUAGUCCACGCCGUAAACUAUGCUUGCUAGCUGUUAUCAGUAUCGACCCUGGUAGUAGCGAAGCUAACGCGUUAAGCAAGCCGCCUGUGGAGUACGAGCGCAAGCUUAAAACAUAAAGGAAUUGACGGGGACCCGCACAAGCGGUGGAGCGUGUUGUUUAAUUCGACGGUAAGCGAAGAACCUUACCAAGGCUUGACAUCCUGCCAAGCUCUCUGAAAGGAGAGUGUGCCUUCGGGCCGCAGUGACAGGUGAUGCAUGGCCGUCGUCAGCUCGUGUCGUGAGAUGUUUGGUUUAAGUCCAUCAACGAGCGCAACCCUUAUAGUCAGUUGAAUUUCUCUGGCUAGACUGCCCCGGUAACGGGGUAGGAAGGAGGGGAUGAUGUCAGGUCAUUAUUUCCCUUACGGCCUUGGGCUACAACACGCUACAAUGGCCGGUACAAAGGGCAGCUAAGUCGCGAGACGGAGCAAAUCCCA
RNAcentral lists this ribosomal RNA (490 nucleotides) under uncultured bacterium. Its description in RNAcentral is "bacterial SSU rRNA". It matches the Rfam family "Bacterial small subunit ribosomal RNA", at positions 774 to 1276 of the family's 1533-position model. The record is from RNAcentral.